AAAAUAAUAUAUCAAUUAUAUUUAUUUCUUCAUAAUUAAAUCAAAUUUAACAAGUAAUUAUUAAAUGAAAUUAUAAUAAUAUUAAUACUUUUAAUUCUAAUAACUUCCUUUUAUACUCAUGAUUGAGUGAAUUUAGUAUAAUGUUUGUAUGGGGGUGUGUCAGGUGUGUACGUGUUUCAAGUUUAAAUUUUAUGCACGAAAAAUGACAAUAAUCAAAAUAAUGUUGAAUGCAAAAGAAUAUUCAUUUAAUAAUGCUUGACAUUUUAUUAUCAACCAGUCAGUAAAUUACUAUAUGAAAGACUUGAUAAGAAAAUUAACCUGCUCGUUGACAUGUUUUGAUUUUUGUAUAAUUUUGACGUGUAAAUUUGAUUCAUUAAAGACCAACUCGAUGAUGUAUACAACUUAUUUUCUGUUUAAUAUAUUUAAGCUUAAUAAUUUUGUCUUAAAACAUCUGAAUAUUCUGAUUUUUAUGCAAAUUGCUUUAAAAUAUGUAUCUUAUUUGUGCAAAUUAAUUAUAUGAAUUAAAAUACUCUAAUUUUGGGCAAAUUAUAUUUAUUUUAUUAAAUUACAGGCGCGCUACCAAUGGGAGGGAAAGGGGGAUACCCUCUCCCCCCAUCGCAAAUUUGACUGUUUUCAUAAAUAUCAUUUUAAGCUAAUAAAAAUUUUACCUCCCCCCCCCCCAAUCAAAAUUUUACAAAUAUUUGAAUAUCAAUUUUCCAACAUAUUAUUCAAAAAUAUUAAUAAA
Molecule: long non-coding RNA, 745 nt
Organism: Gordionus sp. m RMFG-2023
Lineage: Eukaryota; Metazoa; Nematomorpha; Gordioida; Chordodea; Parachordodidae
Exons: 3
Source: RefSeq, a predicted model, not a curated record